AUACGGAGGAUCCGAGCGUUAUCCGGAUUUAUUGGGUUUAAAGGGUGCGCAGGCGGCCAUUUAAGUCAGCGGUUAAAUCGUGGGGCUCAACCCCAUUCUGCCGUUGAUACUGGGUGGCUUGAUUGCGGUCGAGGUUGGCGGAAUUCGUUGUGUAGCGGUGAAAUGCAUAGAUAUGACGAAGAACACCGAUUGCGUAGGCAGCUGACCAGACCGCAAAUGACGCUCAUGCACGAAAGUGCGGGGAUCGAACAGGAUUAGAUACCCUGGUAGUCCGCACAGUAAACGAUGAAUACUUGUUUUCGGCGAUAUAAUGUCAGAGGCAAAGCGAAAGCGAUAAGUAUUCCACCUGGGGAGUACGCCGGCAACGGUGAAACUCAAAUGAAUUGACGGGG
This 392-nucleotide ribosomal RNA is filed under the name uncultured bacterium. RNAcentral describes it as "partial 16S ribosomal RNA". It matches the Rfam family "Bacterial small subunit ribosomal RNA", at positions 523 to 918 of the family's 1533-position model. The record is from RNAcentral.